This 547-nucleotide ribosomal RNA is filed under the name uncultured fungus. RNAcentral describes it as "SSU rRNA". It matches the Rfam family "Eukaryotic small subunit ribosomal RNA", at positions 203 to 755 of the family's 1831-position model. The record is from RNAcentral. Lineage: Eukaryota; Fungi.
AUUUAUUAGAUAAAAAAACCAAUGCCCUUCGGGGCUCCUUGGUGAUUCAUAAUAACUCAACGAAUCGCAUGGCCUUGCGCCGGCGAUGGUUCAUUCAAAUUUCUGCCCUAUCAACUUUCGAUGGUAGGAUAGUGGCCUACCAUGGUCUCAACGGGUAACGGGGAAUUAGGGUUCUAUUCCGGAGAGGGAGCCUGAGAAACGGCUACCACAUCCAAGGAAGGCAGCAGGCGCGCAAAUUACCCAAACCCAACACGGGGAGGUAGUGACAAUAAAUACUGAUACAGGGCUCUUUUGGGUCUUGUAAUUGGAAUGAGUACAAUCUAAAUCCCUUAACGAGGAACAAUUGGAGGGCAAGUCUGGUGCCAGCAGCCGCGGUAAUUCCAGCUCCAAUAGCGUAUAUUAAAGUUGUUGCCGUUAAAAAGCUCGUAGUUGAACCUUGGGUCGGGCCGCUCUGUCCUCCUAAUCGAGCGCACGGAGUCGGUCGGACCUUUCCUUCUGGGGAGCCCGAUGCCCUUUACUGGGCGUCGCGGGGAACCAGGACUUUUAC